Raphanus sativus (radish) is the source of this 305-nucleotide long non-coding RNA. RefSeq lists it as uncharacterized. The record is from RefSeq and is a predicted model, not a curated record. NCBI's taxonomy places the organism in Eukaryota, Viridiplantae, Streptophyta, Magnoliopsida, Brassicales, Brassicaceae. The transcript has 4 exons.
ACAUAUAAUAAGGGUAAGGGUCCUCAUGCUCAGAAAGUUCUGAAUGCUUCAACCUAAAAAAGACGUUUAAGCCAUUAGUGUAAAAGAAGCGAAGAAAAUAAGCAACCAACCCACAGUCUACACAUAUAUCUCAGUCUCUCCCCGGAAUAUGCAUUUUGUUUCAAUUGCUAGAGUGAAGGUUCUGUUUAGACGAUGAGCGGAUUCUGCUUUAAGCGGAGCAGCAACAAGUCGGUCUGAUAAUUAGUCCUUUUUGUUUAUUGAUAUUUUAUAGCAUUUGACAGUUGCACUAAGCCACCAGCGCUAGC